GUAACGAGCGCAACCCUUGUCCUUAGUUACCAGCACGUUAUGGUGGGCACUCUAAGGAGGACUGCCGGUGACAAACCGGAGGAAGGUGGGGAUGACGUCAAGUCAUCAUGGCCCUUACGGCCUGGGCUACACACGUGCUACAAUGGUCGGUACAAAGGGUUGCCAAGCCGCGAGGUGGAGCUAAUCCCAUAAAACCGAUCGUAGUCCGGAUCGCAGUCUGCAACUCGACUGCGUGAAGUCGGAAUCGCUAGUAAUCGUGAAUCAGAAUGUCACGGUGAAUACGUUCCCGGGCCUU
Molecule: ribosomal RNA, 295 nt
Filed under: uncultured Pseudomonas sp.
Lineage: Bacteria; Pseudomonadati; Pseudomonadota; Gammaproteobacteria; Pseudomonadales; Pseudomonadaceae
Description: partial 16S ribosomal RNA
Rfam family: Bacterial small subunit ribosomal RNA
Source: RNAcentral